RNAcentral lists this ribosomal RNA (252 nucleotides) under uncultured bacterium. RNAcentral describes it as "partial 16S ribosomal RNA". It matches the Rfam family "Bacterial small subunit ribosomal RNA", at positions 524 to 776 of the family's 1533-position model. The record is from RNAcentral.
UACGUAGGGAGCGAGCGUUAUCCGGAUUCAUUGGGCGUAAAGCGCGCGUAGGCGGCUGCCUAAGCGGAACCUCUAACCCCGGGGCUCAACCUCGGGCCGGGUUCCGAACUGGGCGGCUCGAAUGCGGUAGAGGAGAGCGGAAUUCCCGGUGUAGCGGUGGAAUGCGCAGAUAUCGGGAAGAACACCGAUGGCGAAGGCAGCUCUCUGGGCCGGCACUGACGCUGAGGCGCGAAAGCUGGGGGAGCGAACAGG